AUGCUAACUUCAGCAGCACAUAUACUAAAAUCGGAAUGAUACAGAAAAAACUAGCAUGGCCCCUGUGCAAGGAUGACACACAAAUCAUGAAGCAUUGCAUACUUUU
Molecule: small nuclear RNA, 106 nt
Filed under: Peromyscus maniculatus bairdii (prairie deer mouse)
Lineage: Eukaryota; Metazoa; Chordata; Mammalia; Rodentia; Cricetidae
Source: RNAcentral